UACAGAGGGGGCAAGCGUUGUUCGGAAUUACUGGGCGUAAAGGGCGCGUAGGCGGCCUGCUAAGUCGAACGUGAAAUCCCCGAGCUCAACUCGGGAACUGCGUCCGAUACUGGCAGGCUUGAAUCCGGGAGAGGGAUGCGGAAUUCCAGGUGUAGCGGUGAAAUGCGUAGAUAUCUGGAGGAACACCGGUGGCGAAGGCGGCGUUCUGGACUGCAACUGACACUGAAAAACGAAAGCCAGGGGAGCAAACGGG
Molecule: ribosomal RNA, 253 nt
Filed under: uncultured bacterium
Lineage: Bacteria
Description: partial 16S ribosomal RNA
Rfam family: Bacterial small subunit ribosomal RNA
Source: RNAcentral